GACGAACGCUGGCGGCGUGCUUAACACAUGCAAGUCGAACGGAAAGGCCCUGCGUUUGUGCGGUGCUCGAGUGGCGAACGGGUGAGUAACACGUGUGUAACCUGCCCUUGUCUUUGGGAGAACUUCAGGAAACUGGGGCUAAUACAGGAUAGGAGAUCCUGCACCAUGGUGGGCAUUGGAAAGUUUCGGCUGUUGGGGAUGGACUAGCGGCUUAUCAGCUUGUUGGUGGGGUAGUGGCUUACCAAGGCUUUGACGGGUAGCCGGCAUGGGAGGGGGGACGGCGUCCAGGGUACUGCGGUACGCCCCAGUCUCCUACGGGAGGCAGCAGGGGGGAAUAUGGCACAACGGGUGGGAGUCUGAUACGGAAACGUCGCGUGCGGGAUGACGGCCUUCUGGGUGUAAACCGCUUUCGCCUGUGACGAAGCGGGAGUGACGGUAAUGGGUAAAGAAGCACCGGCUAACUACGUG
RNAcentral lists this ribosomal RNA (468 nucleotides) under uncultured bacterium. Its description in RNAcentral is "partial 16S ribosomal RNA". It matches the Rfam family "Bacterial small subunit ribosomal RNA", at positions 28 to 507 of the family's 1533-position model. The record is from RNAcentral.